Molecule: ribosomal RNA, 253 nt
Filed under: uncultured bacterium
Lineage: Bacteria
Description: partial 16S ribosomal RNA
Rfam family: Bacterial small subunit ribosomal RNA
Source: RNAcentral
UACGGAGGGUGCGAGCGUUGUCCGGAAUCAUUGGGCGUAAAGGGCGCGUAGGUGGCCCAGUAAGCGUGCGGUGAAAGCUCGGGGCUCAACCCCGGGUCGGCCGUGCGAACUGCUGGGCUUGAGCACUGUAGAGGCAGGCGGAAUUCCGGGUGUAGCGGUGGAAUGCGUAGAGAUGUGGAGGAACACCGAUGGCGAAAGCGGCGUGCUGGACACCUUCUGACGCUGAGGCGCGAAAGCGUGGGGAGCGAACAGG